Molecule: ribosomal RNA, 116 nt
Filed under: Clostridiales bacterium
Lineage: Bacteria; Bacillati; Bacillota; Clostridia; Eubacteriales
Also listed under: 1 other name
Source: RNAcentral
GUCGGUGUUGAUUGCGCUGAGGACCCACCCGUUCCCAUCCCGAACACGGUAGUUAAGCUCAGUAGCGCCGAAGAUACUUGGCGGGGGACUGCCUGGGAAAAUAGGUAAUGCCGACA